AGCCAUGCAUGUCUAAGUAUAAGCAAUUAUACCGUGAAACUGCGAAUGGCUCAUUAAAUCAGUUAUCGUUUAUUUGAUAAUACCUUACUACUUGGAUAACCGUGGUAAUUCUAGAGCUAAUACAUGCUGAAAAUCCCGACUUCGGAAGGGAUGUGCUUAUUAGAUAAAAAACCAAUGCCCUUCGGGGCUCUUUGGUGAUUCAUGAUAAUUUUACGGAUCGCAUAGCCUUGCGCUGGCGACGGUUCAUUCAAAUUUCUGCCCUAUCAACUUUCGAUGGUAAGGUAUUGGCUUACCAUGGUUUCAACGGGUAACGGGGAAUUAGGGUUCGAUUCCGGAGAGGGAGCCUGAGAAACGGCUACCACAUCCAAGGAAGGCAGCAGGCGCGCAAAUUACCCAAUCCCGACACGGGGAGGUAGUGACAAUAAAUACUGAUACAGGGCUCUUUUGGGUCUUGUAAUUGGAAUGAGUACAAUUUAAACCUCUUAACGAGGAACAAUUGGAGGGCAAGUCUGGUGCCAGCAGCCGCGGUAAUUCCAGCUCCAAUAGCGUAUAUUAAAGUUGUUGCAGUUAAAAAGCUCGUAGUUGAAACUUGGGCCUGGCUGGCGGGUCCGCCUCACCGCGUGCACUCGUCCGGCCGGGCCUUCCUUCUGAAGAACCUCAUGCCCUUCACUGGGCGUGUUGGGGAAUCAGGACUUUUACUUUGAAAAAAUUAGAGUGUUCAAAGCAGGCCUUUGCUCGAAUACGUUAGCAUGGAAUAAUAAAAUAGGGCGUGCGUUUCUAUUUUGUUGGUUUCUAGAGACGCCGCAAUGAUUAACAGGAACAGUCGGGGGCAUCAGUAUUCAGUUGUCAGAGGUGAAAUUCUUGGAUUUACUGAAGACUAACUACUGCGAAAGCAUUUGCCAAGGAUGUUUUCAUUAAUCAGUGAACGAAAGUUAGGGGAUCGAAGACGAUCAGAUACCGUCGUAGUCUUAACCGUAAACUAUGCCGACUAGGGAUCGGGCGAUGUUCUUUUUCUGACUCGCUCGGCACCUUACGAGAAAUCAA
This 1044-nucleotide ribosomal RNA is filed under the name Alternaria scirpivora. RNAcentral describes it as "SSU rRNA". It matches the Rfam family "Eukaryotic small subunit ribosomal RNA", at positions 47 to 1101 of the family's 1831-position model. The record is from RNAcentral. Lineage: Eukaryota; Fungi; Ascomycota; Dothideomycetes; Pleosporales; Pleosporaceae.